CUCGUAGGCGGCCAACUAAGUCGGACGUGAAAUCCCUCGGCUUAACCGGGGAACUGCGUCUGAUACUGGAUGGCUUGAGAUUGGGAGAGGGAUGCGGAAUUCCAGGUGUAGCGGUGAAAUGCGUAGAUAUCUGGAGGAACACCGGUGGCGAAGGCGGCAUCCUGGACCAACACUGACGCUGAGGAGCGAAAGCCAGGGAGCAAACG
RNAcentral lists this ribosomal RNA (206 nucleotides) under uncultured bacterium. Its description in RNAcentral is "partial 16S ribosomal RNA". It matches the Rfam family "Bacterial small subunit ribosomal RNA", at positions 568 to 774 of the family's 1533-position model. The record is from RNAcentral.